This 497-nucleotide ribosomal RNA is filed under the name uncultured bacterium. RNAcentral describes it as "partial 16S ribosomal RNA". It matches the Rfam family "Bacterial small subunit ribosomal RNA", at positions 28 to 507 of the family's 1533-position model. The record is from RNAcentral.
GAUGAACGCUGGCGGCGUGCCUAAUACAUGCAAGUCGAGCGAACAGACGAGGAGCUUGCUCCUCUGACGUUAGCGGCGGACGGGUGAGUAACACGUGGAUAACCUACCUAUAAGACUGGGAUAACUUCGGGAAACCGGAGCUAAUACCGGAUAAUAUAUUGAACCGCAUGGUUCAAUAGUGAAAGACGGUUUUGCUGUCACUUAUAGAUGGAUCCGCGCCGCAUUAGCUAGUUGGUAAGGUAACGGCUUACCAAGGCAACGAUGCGUAGCCGACCUGAGAGGGUGAUCGGCCGCACUGGAACUGAGACACGGUCCAGACUCCUACGGGAGGCAGCAGUAGGGAAUCUUCCGCAAUGGGCGAAAGCCUAACGGAGCAACGCCGCGUGAGUGAUGAAGGUCUUCGGAUCGUAAAACUCUGUUAUUAGGGAAGAACAAAUGUGUAAGUAACUAUGCACGUCUUGACGGUACCUAAUCAGAAAGCCACGGCUAACUACGUG